Molecule: ribosomal RNA, 467 nt
Filed under: uncultured bacterium
Lineage: Bacteria
Description: partial 16S ribosomal RNA
Rfam family: Bacterial small subunit ribosomal RNA
Source: RNAcentral
GACGAACGCUGGCGGCGUGCUUAACACAUGCAAGUCGAACGGAAAGGCCCUGCUUUUGUGGGGUGCUCGAGUGGCGAACGGGUGAGUAACACGUGAGUAACCUGCCCUUGACUUUGGGAUAACUUCAGGAAACUGGGGCUAAUACCGGAUAGGAGCUCCUGCUGCAUGGUGGGGGUUGGAAAGUUUCGGCGGUUGGGGAUGGACUCGCGGCUUAUCAGCUUGUUGGUGGGGUAGUGGCUUACCAAGGCUUUGACGGGUAGCCGGCCUGAGAGGGUGACCGGCCACAUUGGGACUGAGAUACGGCCCAGACUCCUACGGGGGGCAGCAGUGGGGAAUAUUGCACAAUGGGCGGAAGCCUGAUGCAGCAACGCCGCGUGCGGGAUGACGGCCUUCGGGUUGUAAACCGCUUUCGCCUGUGACGAAGCGUAAGUGACGGUAAUGGGUAAAGAAGCACCGGCUAACUACGU